AUUGAACGCUGGCGGAACGCUUUACACAUGCAAGUCGAACGGUAACGAGGAGGAAAGCUUGCUUUCCUCUGUCGACGAGUGGCGAACGGGUGAGUAAGACAUCGGAACGUAUCCGCUCGUGGGGGACAACUUCCCGAAAGGGGAGCUAAUACCGCAUGAGAUCCGAGGAUGAAAGAGGGGGACCCGCGAGGGCCUCUCGCGAGCGGAGCGGCCGAUGACUGAUUAGCUAGUUGGUAAGGUAAAGGCUUACCAAGGCGACGAUCAGUAGCUGGUCUGAGAGGACGACCAGCCACAUUGGAACUGAGACACGGUCCAA
RNAcentral lists this ribosomal RNA (316 nucleotides) under uncultured bacterium. Its description in RNAcentral is "bacterial SSU rRNA". It matches the Rfam family "Bacterial small subunit ribosomal RNA", at positions 30 to 334 of the family's 1533-position model. The record is from RNAcentral.